AGAGUUUGAUCCUGGCUCAGAUUGAACGCUGGCGGCAUGCCUUACACAUGCAAGUCGAACGGCAGCACGGGAGCAAUCCUGGCGGCGAGUGGCGAACGGGUGAGUAAUAUAUCGGAACGUACCCAAGAGUGGGGGAUAACGUAGCGAAAGUUACGCUAAUACCGCAUACGAUCUAUGGAUGAAAGUGGGGGAUCGCAAGACCUCAUGCUCCUGGAGCGGCCGAUAUCUGAUUAGCUAGUUGGUGAGGUAAAGGCUCACCAAGGCUACGAUCAGUAGCUGGUCUGAGAGGACGACCAGCCACACUGGAACUGAGACACGGUCCAGACUCCUACGGGAGGCAGCAGUGGGGAAUUUUGGACAAUGGGCGCAAGCCUGAUCCAGCAAUGCCGCGUGAGUGAAGAAGGCCUUCGGGUUGUAAAGCUCUUUUGUCAGGGAAGAAACGGUGAGAGCUAAUAUCUCUUACUAAUGACGGUACCUGAAGAAUAAGCACCGGCUAACUACGUGCCAGCAGCCGCGGUAAUACGUAGGGUGCAAGCGUUAAUCGGAAUUACUGGGCGUAAAGCGUGCGCAGGCGGUUUUGUAAGUCUGUCGUGAAAGCCCCGGGCUCAACCUGGGAAUUGCGAUGGAGACUGCAAGGCUUGAAUCUGGCAGAGGGGGGUAGAAUUCCACGUGUAGCAGUGAAAUGCGUAGAGAUGUGGAGGAACACCGAUGGCGAAGGCAGCCCCCUGGGUCAAGAUUGACGCUCAUGCACGAAAGCGUGGGGAGCAAACAGGAUUAGAUACCCUGGUAGUCC
Molecule: ribosomal RNA, 793 nt
Filed under: uncultured bacterium
Lineage: Bacteria
Description: bacterial SSU rRNA
Rfam family: Bacterial small subunit ribosomal RNA
Source: RNAcentral